GUAGAUAGUACGGAGGAACACCAGUGGCGAAGGCGGAUUGCUGGACAGUAACUGACGCUGGAGGCGACGAAAGGCGGUGGGGAGACAAACAGGAUUAGACUACCGUGGUAGUCCACGACCGUAACGAUGGAUACUAGGUGGGUCGGGGGUGUCCGACCCCCUCGUCGCCGCUAAGUUAACCACAAUAAGUACUCCCACCGGUGGGAGUACGAUCACGUAGGUAGAACUACGAAAGUAUGGAGGGGCCCGCACAAGCGGUGGAGUAUGUGGUUUAAUUCGAAGCAACGCGAAGAACCUUACCAGGGCUUGACAUCCCGGUGGCCGCUCUAGAG
Molecule: ribosomal RNA, 332 nt
Filed under: uncultured bacterium
Lineage: Bacteria
Description: bacterial SSU rRNA
Rfam family: Bacterial small subunit ribosomal RNA
Source: RNAcentral